GUGGUAGUAGUAGAAAUGAUGAAUGUAGUGAUAGCAGUUUAGUGAUCUAGUGGUGGUAAUAGUAAUAAUGAUGAUGGUAGUGAUAGCAGUUUAGUGAUGGUGGUGGUGGUAGUAGUAGUAGUAAUGAUGAUGGUAUUGAUAGCAGUUCAGUGAUGGUGGUAGUAGUAGUAAUGAUGAUGGUAGUGAUAGCAGGUUAGUGAUGGUAGAUGUGGAAGUUGUAGUAAUGGCGAUGGUAGUGAUAGCAGUUUAGUGACGGUGGUGGUGGUAGUAGUAGUAAUGAUGAUGGUAGUGAUAGCAGUUUAGUGAUGGUGAUGGUAGUAGUAGUAAUGAUGUUGGUAGUGACAGCAGUUUAGUGAUGGUGGUGGUAGAAGUAAUAAUGAUGAUGGUAUUGAAAGCAGUUUAGUGAUGGUGGUGGUAGUAGUAGUAAUGAUGAUGGUAGUGAUAGCAGUUUAGUUAUGGUGGUGGUAGUAGUAGUGAUGAUGAUGGUAGUGAAAGCAGUUUAGUGAUGGUUGUGGUAGUAGUAGUAAUGAUGAUGGUAGUGAUAGCCAUUUAGUAAUGGUGGUGGUAGUAGUAGUAAUGAUGAUGGCAGUGAUAGCAGUUUAGUGAUGGUGGUGGUAGUAGUAUUAAUG
This 629-nucleotide long non-coding RNA is filed under the name Salmo salar (Atlantic salmon). RNAcentral's name for it is "lncRNA (ENSSSAG00000086856.1, ENSSSAG00000105428.1)". The record is from RNAcentral. Lineage: Eukaryota; Metazoa; Chordata; Actinopteri; Salmoniformes; Salmonidae.